This 402-nucleotide ribosomal RNA is filed under the name uncultured prokaryote. RNAcentral describes it as "bacterial SSU rRNA". It matches the Rfam family "Bacterial small subunit ribosomal RNA", at positions 355 to 774 of the family's 1533-position model. The record is from RNAcentral.
UAGGGAAUAUUAGAAAUGGACGAAAGUCUGAUCUAGCAACACCGCGUGUGCGAAGAAGGCCUUCGGGUUGUAAAGCACUUUUUGGAAGGAAUAGGAAGGAAUGUACUUCCAGAAUAAUUCUCGCCUAACUACGUUCCAGCAGCCGCGGUAACACGUAGGAGGCAAACGUUAUCCGGAUUUACUGGGCGUAAAGCUCUUGUAGGUGGUACUGUAAGUAGGGCGUGAAAGCUCCUGGCUCAACUGGGAGAGGCCGUUCUAAACUACAGAACUAGAGGAUGGUAGAGGGAGGUGGAAUGGAAGGUGUAGCGGUGGAAUGAGAAGAUAUCUGGAGGAACACCGGUGGGGAAGGCGGCCUCCUGGACCAUUCCUGACACUCAGACGCGAAAGCUAGGGUAGCAAACA